AACUAGCUGAUGAGUCCCAAAUAGGACGAAAUGAGCGUUUUAUAU
RNAcentral lists this non-coding RNA (45 nucleotides) under Schistosoma mansoni. The record is from RNAcentral. Lineage: Eukaryota; Metazoa; Platyhelminthes; Trematoda; Strigeidida; Schistosomatidae.